CAGUGAGGCAUUCCUGCCUCUACACCCUAAUUGUCUGCUGCCAUCUGCUGAUUGAUUAUCAGCUCCACCUGUGAUGGUUCUCAUCUUCCACCCUUUAAAAGGCAGUGGCAGACAUCUCCUCAACGCUGAAGCAWCGUCUACUUUUGGUAACGUUUCUCGGCCUGUGAAAAUAUCUCUUGAGCCUUACUUCGCUAACUUGUGUUUCUUGUUCCAUAGUGAAAUCCUCCUGAGCCCCACCCUGAGUACUACCUGUGGACAAAACCUGGAAGCCUUGGUAUUACCUGGAUCUCCUGCCUCUCUGCCUCCAACGCCUUCUCAUGUAAAUACUCACCUGUGCCAUUCCUCACCACACGUUCAGUUUCCAUCUGGACCCAAGCUUUCUCACCUCAUCACUGGAAAUUUGGAUCCCUGCACAUUCUUCCCCACACCUGUAAAAUAAACAUUGUUUACAUUUUU
Molecule: long non-coding RNA, 456 nt
Organism: Austrofundulus limnaeus
Lineage: Eukaryota; Metazoa; Chordata; Actinopteri; Cyprinodontiformes; Rivulidae
Exons: 2
Source: RefSeq, a predicted model, not a curated record